Molecule: ribosomal RNA, 359 nt
Filed under: Bacillus cereus
Lineage: Bacteria; Bacillati; Bacillota; Bacilli; Caryophanales; Bacillaceae
Description: bacterial SSU rRNA
Rfam family: Bacterial small subunit ribosomal RNA
Source: RNAcentral
GUUGCCAUCAUUAAGUUGGGCACUCUAAGGUGACUGCCGGUGACAAACCUGAGGAUCGUGGGGAAGAAGUCAAAUCAUCAUGCCCCUUAUGACCUGGGCUACACACUGGGUACAAUGGACGGUCCAAAGAGAGGCAAGACCGCGAGGUGGAGAUAAUUUCAUAAAACCGUUCUCAGUUCGGAUUGUAGGCUGCAACUCGCCUACAUGAAGCUGGAAUCGCUAGUAAUCGCGGAUCAGCAUGCCGCGGUGAAUACGUUCCCGGGCCUUGUACACACCGCCCGUCACACCACGAGAGUUUGUAACACCCGAAGUCGGUGGGGUAACCUUUUUGGAGCCAGCCGCCUAAGGUGACAGAUAUG